AACAUCGCGCACCUGCGGGAACCUGCGGAGGGAUCAUUACAGAGUUCGUGCCCUCGCGGGUAGAUCUCCCACCCUUGUGUAUUCUCUACAUCUUGUUGCUUUGGCAGGCCGUUGGUUCGCCAACCACCGGCUCGCGGGCUGGUGCGUGCCUGCCAGAGGACCUCUCAAACUCGGUUUGUUAGUGUCGUCUGAGUACCAUAACAAUCGUUAAAACUUUCAACAACGGAUCUCAGAUCGGAA
This 240-nucleotide unclassified non-coding RNA is filed under the name soil metagenome. RNAcentral's name for it is "partial contains 5.8S ribosomal RNA, internal transcribed spacer 2, and large subunit ribosomal RNA". The record is from RNAcentral.